GUUCGUUUAGUUUAGUUUCGUUCAGUUUUCGCUCUUCUCUUCUCCUGUUCUCUUUUCUCUUGGUACAACAAACAAAAUAAAAAUACAACGAAACCAUCAACAACAAAUCGCGAUCAACACACACUACGCGUUUAUAUGUGCUCUCACAUGUGGUGCGCGCAUCGACGGUGCGAGCGUCUGCCAGUGUCGUCGCCGUCGCCAGCGGGCGUCGUGAAUUGUGCGCGCAGCGUGCGAUAACACGCCAACGCCGCCAGGAUGCCGCGCUGCCUGAUGGCGAAGAAGUGGAAGGCGUACCCGUGGCCAGAGCGGCCCAACGAGGCGCCCGCUGCUUCUACCACCACGACGGCAACUGCACCAGCUGCAGCAACCACGCAGGAUGAGGACGACGAGGAGAUUGAUGUCGUCGGCGACGCUACGCCGAACGCGUGCUGGGCACCUUCCAGUCCUACGGCUGGCGCGACUGCACCCAGUCCGCCGCCGACGUCGCCGCACGGAACCACUCUCUUAUACAAUGGCUACUUGCAAGAGCUCUCGCCGACUAGCUACACGUCCACGUUUAUAACGCGCGUCGACCAUCCGACGACUACCAGCGGGAGCGGGCAGCAACCACCCCAAACGUACGCAACGUUGCGCACCGUCAACGAAACGCAAGACCUCCGCGCUGAGUACAGCAGCCCGCAACCUGCUAGUGGUACGAAUACAAGAGGCAAGAAAAGUCUGGCGAUGUGCUUUACGAGUACGGGAGCAGCGUUAUCGCUGCCGCCGAAAAAGAAAGACAUUUAUCGGCCGUACUCACUGGACGACAAACCCUCGCCGCCCGCGUCGCUCAUACGCGUACCUGCCGAAGAAGACCUACAUGCCGCUCACGCGAUACUUGACUUGAGCGCGUCAACGACGGUUUUCAUGCCUCCGCCGCCGCCGAUUGUUCAACCGGCGCAGCCAAUGGAAGAAGAACCCGUCGAUGCGGAGCACCCGAUCAAAUCGUCCAAGACUGUUGCUUAUACCUACGAGGCGUUUUUCGUGAGCGACGGACGCUCUAAAAAGAAGCAGCCGCCGCCCGAAGAAAUCGCCGCUGCGCCUACACCAAAAGCCAUCACAGGCGGAGAUAAACCCAAGUACACGUGCAGCGAGUGCGGCAAACAAUACGCCACCUCCAGUAAUCUUUCACGGCAUAAGCAGACACAUCGCAGUCUUGAUUCACAAUCGGCAAAGAAGUGCAUCACCUGCGGCAAGGCGUACGUGAGCAUGCCAGCGUUAGCAAUGCACGUGCUCACGCACAAGCUGGCCCACAAGUGCUCCGUCUGCGGCAAGCAAUUCUCGCGGCCGUGGCUCCUUCAGGGUCAUCUUCGCUCGCACACUGGAGAGAAACCCUAUGGGUGCGCGCAUUGCGGUAAGGCCUUUGCGGACCGUAGUAAUCUACGCGCGCACAUGCAAACGCACUCGUCGGACAAGAACUUUGAGUGCCCACGAUGCCACAAGUCGUUCGCGCUCAAGUCCUACCUGAACAAGCAUCUUGAGUCGGCGUGCCUCAAGGACGAAGGCCAUCUCGAAGAAGAGGGCGAGUUGCUGAGCGCAACGCGCGCACUAUCACCGGAGCCGAGUCUCGUCUACGCCGGCUGAGCACGAUCGACCACCGCCACCGCCUCCUACAACGCGAUGACCACACAAACGCAAACAAAAUAGAAGGCGAACAGUAAGGGAAGAAAAGGAAAAAAACUGCGCUAAACUAGUCGCUUCUCCUAGUAUCUUAAAAGAUUCCUCUCUCUCCGAACGGGCCCACCCCGCGUCCGAGGGGUGGCGCGCAAUCUUGGCAGGCGCGUCACGUUUCGCUGGCAGCGCGCCCGGCGCGCCCGGAACGCGUCACGCCGCGGCCAAGAUUAGGGCUAUGAUUUAUACUUCGCGAACUGAAGCCUCCUCCUCAAACUCGCACCCACUUCCCACACCCACCAGGAAACAACCGCCACCCCCUUUGUAAAUAUCCCUCCCAGUGAGAUAACACAUCGCAACACGUCCACUAAGUUAGGGCCCCACGGGCAGUAGAUUUAAGGAAUAAAUUAUUACGACUCUAUUUAAACGCAAGAACAAACCAAACAACAAAAAAAAACAACGAAAGUGAGCGAAGGUUAUGUUAUAAACUUUUUAGGUGAAUUUCAAUUAAGACGCGAGUCGGCAAGGAAAACACAUUUGUUGCUCUCCUCGCCCUCGAGAUUGCAUGCAGGCCGAAAGCGUUCGGGCAAAGGGAAACGCAAAUACCUUUAGAACACCAUUUGGGAUUGUGUGUACAGUUUAAGAUGUUAUCGGGCACCCCCACCCAUAGUCUAAUUAAGUUAAUUAAAACGAGCGACAUUCCAAAAAAUGUUCACUGCGAACAAAAAGCAAAGUUUCACAAACAACGAAGUUAUGCAAAUAUAAAUGCUAGUAUUAUUAUAUAUAAAAAUAUAUAUUAUAUAUAUAUAAUAUAUAUAUGCAUACAUACAUACACUAAUGUACUAGGAUAAACAAAAAACAAAGCGGUAUUAAGUGAGAUUACGAUAAAAACAAACACAUGCGCAGUUUACUAAAGUUUUGUAGUAAUUGAUGCCUGUUUGUUUUAAAGCAAUACGAAAUUUUUAACGAAACUAAAAGAAGCAAUAUUUAUUAGGUAUUGAGCAACAGAUAGAAGUGUAGCGGAUUUUAAUUCGAUGAAAAUCUAGUCGCAAACAAACAAUAAACUAGUCCAUAGUUUUAACGUUUUAAACCGAAAAUACUUGAGAAGUAUUACAAUGCGCUAGUCCCGUCAUGAUAGUCAAUUAAAUUUAGUUACUUAGUUAAUUUUCGCGCGUCACUCACACACACACGUUUGGGUUGCAAGCAGAGCAAAGCAAAAAAAAAAAUCGAAAACAAAAAACAAUGAAACAAAUUAUAUUUAGGAAUUGCGGAAGAUUUUAUAAUAGAGUUUAUAAAAAUGAUUUUAAAAAACGAGACAAAAUACUAUACAAAGUAAUUGAUAACAAAAAUCAUUGAUAAAUCAACGAAAUACGCAAAGUUUCGGCCGUAUUUUUGCAUAAAUUGAAGAAACAAUAUUUAAACAACUAAAUUUUAAAACAUUACCAAUUAAGGCAUAUAGUAAAUAUUAAUUACGAGUAGUGUAUGAACAGCAAGUGAGGUGCAACGUGCGUAGUAGAUUAAUUUAUUGAUUGUAAUUUAUUUAUUUAUUUAAUUUAUUUAGGUGUACAUUGUUUUUGAAACAAUUUUCAGAGCCAGGCGAGUGUCAAACUAGUCAAAUACGCCGACGAAGACAUAAAUGUCAUGAGUGUAGGUGCCUUAGUUUUAAAACGAUGAAAUAAUAAUGCACAACGAAUCCAAACCAUUCAGUACAAGAUCUUUUGCGAACCUUCAACUUUUCUGAUCUGUUUUCUUAUCGCCUGGUGCGUUACCUUCACUUUAAAUCUCAAUUUUCAAUUUCUACGUACAAAUGCAACGAAUAAAACUAAUGAAAAUUUAAGAUUUGCAAAGUGUUUCAGUUUCUAGUCAAUAUUUACUAGUCAAUUAGUGUUCUUUUUUGCGGAAAAAUUUUUCGUUUUUUCAAACACUUUGCAGAAAUUUUCCUAUAAUCCAUACACCAAAUGAUAGCGAUUCGUUAAGUCCUCGUAAAGUAGUUGAUGCAAAUGCAGCAGCGCGAACUGAUAGUAUGCUAAACGAAAAAUGAUAUGCUAGGUGACGAAGACGAUUGAUUUUGGUAUUUUAGAGGAAUUUUCGAAUUCGAUAUAUAAGCAAGUAAGAGAAAAAAAAAACAAGAGAGUAAAAUAUAUUUAAAUUUAAUAUUUACUGGCGAACACAUCCCGGGUCUUGAACUUUCGCGGCAUUGGAUUCACAAUCAAAUGCGAGGUGCAGUCGGAAGAACGCGCGAUUUGCGAUCUUAUCAAACACAACGUUCAAUAUCAUCAAUAUACAACGAUCAUGUAACCAGUACAACGAAGAGUUAACAUUUUCUAAUGCGAUAAGCAAUAAAUGCAAACAAGCAAUAUUACCUACGUAAUUUAAUGAUUGAUAUAAUGAUGUACCUUCCGCACGUCAGUAUGUGUAUGUGUAUGUGUGUCACUAUUCGAAAAAGCAAUAUGGCGGCAUACGCCGAUAACGAAAAGCAAUACGAACAACAACGAAUCUUUAAAAAUUGAAAAAUCACUAAAACAACGCAACGAAUACAACGAAAAACGAAACACAGCAGGCAAACAACGCGAACGACGAUAUGCAAUCGAAUUUGCUGACGAUGACAACGCCCGGUAAGGAAAAAGUGCUCGGGAUAUGCCGGGUAUUCAAAAGCAAUAAUCACAGUAGUCGGGCCCGUGCGACGUCGAUCGAUGCAAUGCGAUCGCGCGCCGAGCGCGGUCCGAGGAACAUAGCAAUAUAGGAGGUAAGCGAUGAAGAAAAUUAACUUAAACGCAAAAAAAUAAAUAAAAAAAACACCGACGUUUAGACGUUUGCAGUAAGUAAAAAAGCAGAAAAAAAGAAAACACGUAACGAACAAAAAAAAGCAGUAGCAUUUAAGAGCAGAGUAAACUCUCGCUCACACUUGCACACCUUAGCGAGGUGUGAAGUUUUUCUAGCGAUGGCGGUGGCGUUUCGCCAGCGCGUGUUGUCAAUUUGAUUCGAAUCAAUUAGUUUUUAUCUAUUAUAGUCAAUUUUGUCUAGUCGAUUAUCAAGCGUCGAAACGCCGCCGCCGUGAAUAUUCGAGUCGAGUACAUAGUGUUUAGCGGCCUGCCUAUCGAUUAAUCUAAUAGCAAUAUAGAAUCAGCAAUAGACUUAUACAAUUAUGAUUAUUAUACAUGCAUAAAAAUUAUAUAAAAAUAUAUUAAUUAAUAUAAAUUAUACACUAUACAAAUAUAUUCUAUUUAAAAAAGAUAAAUACAACUAAACAAACAAAAACAAAAAAUUCUGAGGACGAGAUGAGGUUAUGUGAGUGUGUGGAGGAUGUAACAACACGCCACCAUGUGAGCAGCAGCGAACGAAGCGAAACGUUCCAGACAACCGGACGCAAAACAAAUUAUAAUCAAACUAACACGAUGCAUAGUUCGCCCUUAGGGCGAAUAAUAUGUUGUAUUAUGUGUUUUAAAAACUCGAACCUACCAACUUAUUAUAUAGUUUUAACUAAAGAUGAGAUGAAUAAUGAGAAAUAAAAAGUAUUGUAAGUAGCGAUUGAAAACAAAAAAAAACAUAACAAGUUUUAGACAAUUUAUUAAUUCAAUUAUUAUUACCGAUUGUUUUUGGCGAUUUAUUAAACGAAUAUUAAUAAAUAUUAUAAAAAUUUAACACAAUAAUAAUAUUUAAAAAACGCGAGAGACAUUGACGACAUUGAUCCAGAAUAACGAAUAACUAAUGUGAAGAAACAACACGCAUACCAAACAACAAUGGUUUUUAUUCGAAACGUAUUUUAAACUUGUCAUUUUUUGCGCCAAACCGCGCAAGCCUUGCCAAAAAUUAAGCGAAAGAGAAAACAUCAUCCUAAAUGUGAAAUUAUUUCUAUUUCAUUACGCCUACAACGUGUAUGUUUAACAAGCAAUUUUAAACGUUUUAAAAUACGACAGAAAUCGCAAAUUUUACAACAAAACGCUAUAAUGUACUGGAACAUGCAGAGCGCGCGUGUGAAGAACCGCAUAUUUUUUUGGACAAUGCCAAAAGAACAACUUCAUGUUACCUAACAGCAACUAAACACUGAAAAGAGGAAUCAUGCGCAAUAUGUCAAUAAAUAACAGUCAUUGUGACGCGCGAUGUUUUCGACAACAACACACAAAAAAAAAACCAACGAAACCUGCCGCUACGGCAUAGAUAGUGUGUCAGUCGAGUGUUGCGCGUUGCUGGAAGUUGAUUAAAACCAACGAGAACAUUUUAAACAAAUAUGUCUGUGUAAACUUGCAGUCCAGUAAUCUUGACCACAAUAUUUAUUAUUGUAUAACACUACAUAAUAUACGUUAUGACGUGUCACGUGUCAUCUUCAAAUUGUCGUCACAAAGCCGAGUGUUCCUUUGAUAUUGCAGUGCCAGUGGUGUUAAAAUAUCUGCGGCACUCUUCGUGCCUGGCAAUCCGAUAAGCUGUACACUGGCGAGCGGAUUGCGUCUCAUCAAUUCGAUAUCAGCCUCCAUCAUAUCCUUGACGAGCUCCGGGAACGUUACCCGCGGCGCCCAGUUCAGCUUCUUCUUUGCCUUCGACGCGUCGCCGAGGAGUUGCUCCUAUAUC
This is an RNA transcript of Dalotia coriaria, 6213 nucleotides long. It is a transcript of the gene named scratch, with no coding region annotated. The record is from RefSeq and is a predicted model, not a curated record. The transcript is spliced from 5 exons. Lineage: Eukaryota; Metazoa; Arthropoda; Insecta; Coleoptera; Staphylinidae.